Long non-coding RNA from Melitaea cinxia (Glanville fritillary), 303 nucleotides. RefSeq lists it as uncharacterized. The record is from RefSeq and is a predicted model, not a curated record. Lineage: Eukaryota; Metazoa; Arthropoda; Insecta; Lepidoptera; Nymphalidae. The transcript has 2 exons.
ACUUCGUAGGGCACGAUCUCGUUUUUGUACUUCGAUCUGUGUGGUACUUGAAUCCUUUCCUAAAUAUUUUUCUGCUGGCUAUACAAAGAGUAUCAAUUGAUGAAAAAAAUGCUUCAACUGUCUUUGGUUUAAUGGCGUUGAAUGUUGCCAAAAUAGCACUAAUGAUUUCAUCAAUGUCACGUAGAAUGGAGAAUACAAGCAAUUUGAAACCAAUCAUUGUUACUUCUAAAUGACUCAUACACUUGCAUAAUUAUGCUAAGUUAACAUUUUGGUGAAUAAAAAAGAUAAAUUGAAUCAUAAAAA